Molecule: ribosomal RNA, 497 nt
Filed under: uncultured bacterium
Lineage: Bacteria
Description: partial 16S ribosomal RNA
Rfam family: Bacterial small subunit ribosomal RNA
Source: RNAcentral
GAUGAACGCUGGCGGCGUGCCUAAUACAUGCAAGUCGAGCGAACAGACGAGGAGCUUGCUCCUUCGACGUUAGCGGCGGACGGGUGAGUAACACGUAGGUAACCUACCUAUAAGACUGGGAUAACUUCGGGAAACCGGAGCUAAUACCGGAUAAUAUUUCUAACCGCAUGGUUCAAUAGUGAAAGAUGGCUUUGCUAUCACUUAUAGAUGGACCUGCGCCGUAUUAGCUAGUUGGUAAGGUAACGGCUUACCAAGGCAACGAUACGUAGCCGACCUGAGAGGGUGAUCGGCCACACUGGAACUGAGACACGGUCCAGACUCCUACGGGAGGCAGCAGUAGGGAAUCUUCCGCAAUGGGCGAAAGCCUGACGGAGAAACGCCGCGUGAGUGAUGAAGGUCUUCGGAUCGUAAAACUCUGUUAUUAGGGAAGAACAAAAGUGUAAGUAACUGUGCACGUCUUGACGGUACCUAAUCAGAAAGCCACGGCUAACUACGUG